This 75-nucleotide transfer RNA is filed under the name Chloroflexota bacterium. RNAcentral describes it as "tRNA-Ala". It matches the Rfam family "tRNA". From Rfam's summary of the family: Transfer RNA (tRNA) molecules are approximately 80 nucleotides in length. Their secondary structure includes four short double-helical elements and three loops (D, anti-codon, and T loops). The record is from RNAcentral. Lineage: Bacteria; Bacillati; Chloroflexota.
GGGGAAUUAGUUUAAUUGGGAAAAUAUCGCCCUUGCAAGGCGAAGUUAUGAGUUCGAUUCUCAUAUUCUCCACCA